UAGCAUAUCAAUAAGCGGAGGAAAAGAAACCAACAGGGAUUGCCCCAGUAACGGCGAGUGAAGCGGCAACAGCUCAAAUUUGAAAUCUGGCCCUUGGGUCCGAGUUGUAAUUUGUAGAGGAUGCUUUUGGCGAGGUGCCUUCCGAGUUCCCUGGAACGGGACGCCAUAGAGGGUGAGAGCCCCGUCUGGUCGGACACCGAGCCUCUGUAAAGCUCCUUCGACGAGUCGAGUAGUUUGGGAAUGCUGCUCAAAAUGGGAGGUAUAUGUCUUCUAAAGCUAAAUAUUGGCCAGAGACCGAUAGCGCACAAGUAGAGUGAUCGAAAGAUGAAAAGCACUUUGAAAAGAGGGUUAAAAAGUACGUGAAAUUGUUGAAAGGGAAGCGCCUAUGACCAGACUUGGGCCCGGUGAAUCAUCCAGCGUUCUCGCUGGUGCACUUUGCCGGGCACAGGCCAGCAUCAGUUUGGCGCGGGGGAAAAAGGCUUUGGGAAUGUGGCUCCCUCGGGAGUGUUAUAGCCCAUUGUGUAAUACCCUGCGCCGGACUGAGGUACGCGCAUUGCAAGGAUGCUGGCGUAAUGGUCAUCAGCGACCCGUCUUGAAACACGGACCAAGGAGUCGUCUUCGUAUGCGAGUGUUCGGGUGUCAAACCCCUACGCGUAAUGAAAGUGAACGCAGGUGAGAGCUUCGGCGCAUCAUCGACCGAUCCUGAUGUUCUCGGAUGGAUUUGAGUAAGAGCAUACGGGGCCGGACCCGAAAGAAGGUGAACUAUGCCUGUAUAGGGUGAAGCCAGAGGAAACUCUGGUGGAGGCUCGCAGCGGUUCUGACGUGCGAAUCGAUCGUCAAAUAUGGGCAUGGGGGGCGAAAGACUAAUCGAACCUUCUAGUAGCUGGUUUCCGCCGA
This 897-nucleotide ribosomal RNA is filed under the name Akanthomyces muscarius. Its description in RNAcentral is "LSU rRNA". It matches the Rfam family "Eukaryotic large subunit ribosomal RNA", at positions 36 to 964 of the family's 3401-position model. The record is from RNAcentral. Lineage: Eukaryota; Fungi; Ascomycota; Sordariomycetes; Hypocreales; Cordycipitaceae.